Molecule: ribosomal RNA, 490 nt
Filed under: uncultured bacterium
Lineage: Bacteria
Description: partial 16S ribosomal RNA
Rfam family: Bacterial small subunit ribosomal RNA
Source: RNAcentral
AUUGAACGCUGGCGGCAUGCUUUACACAUGCAAGUCGAACGGCAGCGGGGUAGUGCUUGCACUACUGCCGGCGAGUGGCGAACGGGUGAGUAAUAUAUCGGAACGUACCGAGUAAUGGGGGAUAACCAAUCGAAAGAUUGGCUAAUACCGCAUACGUCCUGAGGGAGAAAGCGGGGGAUCGCAAGACCUCGCGUUAUUCGAGCGGCCGAUAACUGAUUAGCUAGUUGGUGGGGUAAAGGCCUACCAAGGCGACGAUCAGUAGCGGGUCUGAGAGGACGAUCCGCCACACUGGGACUGAGACACGGCCCAGACUCCUACGGGAGGCAGCAGUGGGGAAUUUUGGACAAUGGGGGCAACCCUGAUCCAGCCAUGCCGCGUGUAUGAAGAAGGCCUUCGGGUUGUAAAGUACUUUUGUUAGGGAAGAAAAGGGAAGUGCUAAUACCACUUUUUGCUGACGGUACCUAAAGAAUAAGCACCGGCUCACUACGUG